GAUGAACGCUGGCGGCGUGCCUAACACAUGCAAGUCGAGCGAUUUACUUCGGUAAAGAGCGGCGGACGGGUGAGUAACGCGUGGGUAACCUGCCCUGUACACACGGAUAACAUACCGAAAGGUAUGCUAAUACGAGAUAAUAUACUUUUAUCUCAUGGUAGAAGUAUCAAAACUCUGGCGGUACAGGAUGGACCCGCGUCUGAUUAGCUAGUUGGUAAGGUAACGGCUUACCAAGGCGACGAUCAGUAGCCGACCUGAGAGGGUGAUCGGCCACAUUGGAACUGAGACACGGUCCAAACUCCUACGGGAGGCAGCAGUGGGGAAUAUUGCACAAUGGGCGAAAGCCUGAUGCAGCAACGCCGCGUGAGCGAUGAAGGCCUUCGGGUCGUAAAGCUCUGUCCUCAAGGAAGAUAAUGAAGGUACUUGAGGAGGAAGCCCCGGCUAACUACGUGCCAGCAGCCGCCGUAA
RNAcentral lists this ribosomal RNA (468 nucleotides) under uncultured bacterium. RNAcentral's name for it is "partial 16S ribosomal RNA". It matches the Rfam family "Bacterial small subunit ribosomal RNA", at positions 28 to 523 of the family's 1533-position model. The record is from RNAcentral.